GGAAAGGCCCCUUCGGGGGUACUCGAGUGGCGAACGGGUGAGUAACACGUGAGUAACCUGCCCUUGACUUCGGGAUAACUUCAGGAAACUGGGGCUAAUACCGGAUAGGAAUCCUUGCUGCAUGGUGGGGGUUGGAAAGCUUCGGCGGUUUUGGAUGGACUCGCGGCUUAUCAGCUUGUUGGUGGGGUAGUGGCUUACCAAGGCUUUGACGGGUAGCCGGCCUGAGAGGGCGACCGGCCACAUUGGGACUGAGAUACGGCCCAGACUCCUACGGGAGGCAGCAGUGGGGAAUAUUGCACAAUGGGCGGAAGCCUGAUGCAGCAACGCCGCGUGCGGGAUGACGGCCUUCGGGUUGUAAACCGCUUUCAGCAGGGGCGAAGCUUGUGGUGACGGUACCUGCAGAAGAAGCACCGGCUAACUACGUGCCAGCAGCCGCGGUGAUACGUAGGGUGCGAGCGUUGUCCGGAUUUAUUGGGCGUAAAGAGCUCGUAGGUGGUUGAUUGCGUCGGAAGUGAAAACUUGGGGCUUAACCCUGAGCGUGCUUUCGAUACGGGUUGACUUGAGGAAGGUAGGGGAGAAUGGAAUUCCUGGUGGAGCGGUGGAAUGCGCAGAUAUCAAGAGGAACACCAGUGGCGAAGGCGGUUCUCUGGACCUUUCCUGACGCUGAGGAGCGAAAGCGUGGGGAGCGAACAGGCUUAGAUACCCUGGUAGUCCACGCUGUAAACGGUGGGUACUAGGUGUGGGGUCCAUUCCACGGAUUCCGUGCCGUAGCUAACGCAUUAAGUACCCCGCCUGGGGAGUACGGCCGCAAGGCUAAAACUCAAAGGAAUUGACGGGGCCCCGCACAAGCGGCGG
RNAcentral lists this ribosomal RNA (855 nucleotides) under Cutibacterium avidum. RNAcentral describes it as "bacterial SSU rRNA". It matches the Rfam family "Bacterial small subunit ribosomal RNA", at positions 68 to 935 of the family's 1533-position model. The record is from RNAcentral. Lineage: Bacteria; Bacillati; Actinomycetota; Actinomycetes; Propionibacteriales; Propionibacteriaceae.